This 495-nucleotide ribosomal RNA is filed under the name uncultured soil bacterium. RNAcentral's name for it is "bacterial SSU rRNA". It matches the Rfam family "Bacterial small subunit ribosomal RNA", at positions 26 to 529 of the family's 1533-position model. The record is from RNAcentral.
AGGACGAACGCUGGCGGCGUGCUUAACACAUGCAAGUCGAACGAGGUUCAACCAGUCGCAAGACUGGUGAAGAUCGAGUGGCGAACGGGUGCGUAACACGUGAGAAACCUGUCCCGGUCUCUGGAAUAACAGUCGGAAACGACUGCUAAUACCGGAUGCCGUCGGAGCGUCGCAUGGCGCGCUGACGAAAGGGCUACCGGAUCGGGAGGGUCUCGCGGCCUAUCAGCUUGUUGGUGAGGUAACGGCUCACCAAGGCAUCGACGGGUAGCUGGUCUGAGAGGAUGAUCAGCCACACUGGGACUGAGACACGGCCCAGACUCCUACGGGAGGCAGCAGUGGGGAAUCUUGCACAAUGGGCGAAAGCCUGAUGCAGCAACGCCGCGUGCGGAUGAAGGCCUAGGUGUAAACCGCUUUCAGCGAAGGAAGAAAUGACGGUACCUGUAAGAAGAAGGUGACGGACCAACGUACGUACCAAGCAAGCCGACGGUAAUCGUA